CGCCAGAGUAGUGUGCUUUUGGUGAGAUCUUGAAAAAAAGACAAGGAGGAACCCUCAAAGGUCAGAGGCGUUUUGUUUCUCAAGGCUGUCAUUAUUCGGGUUUUGUCUUGGAAGGUUAGGCAUCUAAGGAUGACGUCCCUUGCCACACCGGGUGUCAACUUGGCAGAGCUAUUGAUGCGAUGCACCCCAUCUAUGAUUAUCGUUUUAGCGGUAGCGUGAGGUAAUAUGGUGGAUAGUAACCUGCGGAGAUAGUGUGGGAGCUCCUCGGCUGUAACUUCAUCAGGGAUUCCACGUAUUUUUAUGUGAUUUCGGCGCUGUUUGUCUUCUAGGGCCGUGAGUUGCAGGGAGAAGUGUGAGUGAUG
Molecule: non-coding RNA, 362 nt
Organism: Pelobates cultripes (western spadefoot toad)
Lineage: Eukaryota; Metazoa; Chordata; Amphibia; Anura; Pelobatidae
Source: the annotation of a GenBank genome assembly